RNAcentral lists this non-coding RNA (29 nucleotides) under Homo sapiens (human). The record is from RNAcentral. Lineage: Eukaryota; Metazoa; Chordata; Mammalia; Primates; Hominidae.
AGGUUACACAGCUUAUAAAAGACACAAGC